GAUGAACGCUGGCGGCGUGCCUAAUACAUGCAAGUCGAGCGAACGGACGAGAAGCUUGCUUCUUUGAUGUUAGCGGCGGACGGGUGAGUAACACGUGGAUAACCUACCUAUAAGACUGGGAUAACUUCGGGAAACCGGAGCUAAUACCGGAUGAGAUUUUGAACCGCAUGGUUCAAAAGUGAAAGACGGUCUUGCUGUCACUUAUAGAUGGAUCCGCGCUGCAUGAGCUAGUUGGUAAGGUAACGGCUUACCAAGGCAACGAUGCAUAGCCGACGUGAGAGGGUGAUCGGCCACACUGGAACUGAGACACGGUCAAGACGCCUACGGGAGGCAGCAGUAGGGAAUCUUCCGCAAUGGGCGAAAGCCUGACGGAGCAACGCGGCGUGAGUGAUGAAGGUCUUCGGAUCGUAAAACUCUGUUAUUAGGGAAGAACAUAUGUGUAAGUAACUGUGCACAGCUUGACGGUACCUAAUCAGAAAGCCACGGCUAACUACGUG
Molecule: ribosomal RNA, 497 nt
Filed under: uncultured bacterium
Lineage: Bacteria
Description: partial 16S ribosomal RNA
Rfam family: Bacterial small subunit ribosomal RNA
Source: RNAcentral